GGCAUUUGCGAGUUUUCGCUCACUCAUGUUCGAGGGAAAAUUGCUUGCGUGCAUGGGGAGGAUGGAUGCGUUUGACCAUAAGAAGCACCCAAAAUCCUAAAAUUGUAGAUCGCCUGUCGUCACACGCCAUGCCACGUGUGAAAAUGUCUGUUGUUUAGCUUAGUGAGAGGCAAGUAGGUCGGACUCGGGGGUCAGUUUCAGAGCAAUUGAGGCAAAGGGGUUGGGCCAUGAGACCAUGUGCCUAAUUAGCACCAUUGUCAAAAUGGACGUUUUCCAAUUCCAGGUAAAACACGAGGCGUUCCCAGUGUGACUUCGAUCACGCAGCCACGGCAGCCAGGUCUAACAACGGGCUUGUGAGGUGCCUCGGACUACAAGGUUGCACGGUUUCAACAUCUGCGAAGUAGUUAGUGGUUUGCGCCUGCCAUUCUAGUCUUCACGGAUGUUCAUUGUGGCUUUCCAGGUUACUUGGAUAGGGACUCGGUGAUAUGCCCGCAUGCAGGUUUGGGCAGGGAACAUCACAAGAACUUACAAGACCAAGUGCUUGCGGCAUUUGCGAGUUUUCGCUCACUCAUGUUCGAGGGAAACAUGCUUGCGUGCAUGGGGAGGAUGGAUGCGUUUGACCUUAAGAAGCACCCAAAAUCACGCGUGAAAAAAUGUCUGUUGUUUAGAUUAGUGAGAGGCAAGUAGGUCGGACUCGGGGGUCAGUUUCAGAGGAAUUGAGGGAAGGGGGUUGGGCCAUGAGACCAUGUGCCUAAUUAGCACCAUUGUCAAAAAUGGACGUUUUCCAAUUCCAGGCAAAACACGAGGCGUUCCCAGUGUGACUUCGAUCACGCAGCCACGGCAGCCAGGUCUAACAACGGGCUUGUGAGGUGCCUCGGACUACAAGGUUGCACGGUUUCAACAUCUGCGAAGUAGUUAGUGGUUUGCGCCUGCCAUUCUAGUCUUCACGGAUGUUCAUUGUGGCUUUCCAGGUUACUUGGAUAGGGACUCGGUGAUAUGCCCGCAUGCAGGUUUGGGCAGGGAACAUCACAAGAACUUACAAGACCAAGUGCUUGCGGCAUUUGCGAGUUUUCGCUCACUCAUGUUCGAGGGAAACAUGCUUGCGUGCAUGGGGAGGAUGGAUGCGUUUGACCUUAAGAAGCACCCAAAAUCCUAAAAUUGUAGAUCGCCUGUCGUCACACGCAUGCCACGCUGAAAAUGUCUGUUAUUUAAUUAGUGAGAGGCAAGUAGGUCGGACUCGGGGGUCAGUUUCAGAGGAAUUGAGGGAAGGGGGUGGGGCCAUGAGACCAUGUGCCUUAUUAGCACCAUUGUCAAAAAUGGACGUUUCCCAAUUCCAGGCAAAACACGAGGCGUUCCCAGUGUGACUUCGAUCACGCAGCCACGGCAGCCAGGUCUAACAACGGGCUUGUGAGGUGCCUCGGACUACAAGGUUGCACGGUUUCAACAUCUGCGAAGUAGUUAGUGGUUUGCGCCUGCCAUUCUAGUCUUCACGGAUGUUCAUUGUGGCUUUCCAGGUUACUUGGAUAGGGACUCGGUGAUAUGCCCGCAUGCAGGUUUGGGCAGGGAACAUCACAAGAACUUACAAGACCAAGUGCUUGCGGCAUUUGCGAGUUUUCGCUCACUCAUGUUCGAGGGAAACAUGCUUGCGUGCAUGGGGAGGAUGGAUGCGUUUGACCUUAAGAAGCACGCCAUGCCACGCGUGAAAAUGUCUGUUGUUUAGAUUAGUGAGAGGCAAGUAGGUCGGACUCGGGGGUCAGUUUCAGAGGAAUUGAGGGAAGGGGGUUGGGCCAUGAGACCAUGUGCCUAAUUAGCACCAUUGUCAAAAAUGGACGUUUUCCAAUUCCAGGCAAAACACGAGGCGUUCCCAGUGUGACUUCGAUCACGCAGCCACGGCAGCCAGGUCUAACAACGGGCUUGUGAGGUGCCUCGGACUACAAGGUUGCACGGUUUCAACAUCUGCGAAGUAGUUAGUGGUUUGCGCCUGCCAUUCUAGUCUUCACAGAUGUUCAUUGUGGCUUUCCAGGUUACUUGGAUAGGGACUCGGUGAUAUGCCCGCAUGCAGGUUUGGGCAGGGAACAUCACAAGAACUUACAAGACCAAGUGCUUGCGGCAUUUGCGAGUUUUCGCUCACUCAUGUUCGAGGGAAAAUUGCUUGCGUGCAUGGGGAGGAUGGAUGCGUUUGACCUUAAGAAGCACCCAAAAUCCUAAAAUUGUGAUCGCUGUAGAACACGCCACACGGUGAAAAUGUCUGUUGUUUAGAUUAGUGAGAGGCAAGUAGGUCGGACUCGGGGGUCAGUUUCAGAGGAAUUGAGGGAAGGGGGUUGGGCCAUGAGACCAUGUGCCUAAUUAGCACCAUUGUCAAAAAUGGACGUUUUCCAAUUCCAGGUAAAACACGAGGCGUUCCCAGUGUGACUUCGAUCACGCAGCCACGGCAGCCAGGUAUAACAACGGGCUUGUGAGGUGCCUCGGACUACAAGGUUGCACGGUUUCAACAUCUGCGAAGUAGUUAGUGGUUUGCGCCUGCCAUUCUAGUCUUCACGGAUGUUCAUUGUGGCUUUCCAGGUUACUUGGAUAGGGACUCGGUGAUAUGCCCGCAUGCGGGUUUGGGCAGGGAACAUCACAAGAACUUACAAGACCAAGUGCUUGCGGCAUUUGCGAGUUUUCGCUCACUCAUGUUCGAGGGAAACAUGCUUGCGUGCAUGGGGAGGAUGGAUGCGUUUGACCUUAAGAAGCACCCAAAAUCCUAAAAUUGUAGAUCGCCUGUCGUCACACGCCAUGCCACGUGUGAAAAUGUCUGUUGUUUAGCUUAGUGAGAGGCAAGUAGGUCGGACUCGGGGGUCAGUUUCAGAGCAAUUGAGGGAAGGGCGUUGGGCCAUGAGACCAUGUGCCUAAUUAGCACCAUUGUCAAAAAUGGACGUUUUCCAAUUCCAGGUAAAACACGAGGCGUUCCCAGUGUGACUUCGAUCACGCAGCCACGGCAGCCAGGUAUAACAACGGGCUUGUGAGGUGCCUCGGACUACAAGUUGCACGGUUUCAACAUCUGCGAAGUAGUUAGUGGUUUGCGCCUGCCAUUCUAGUCUUCACAGAUGUUCAUUGUGGCUUUCCAGGUUACUUGGAUAGGGACUCGGUGAUAUGCCCGCAUGCGGGUUUGGGCAGGGAACAUCACAAGAACUUACAAGACCAAGUGCUUGCGGCAUUUGCGAGUUUUCGCUCACUCAUGUUCGAGGGAAAAUUGCUUGCGUGCAUGGGGAGGAUGGAUGCGUUUGACCUUAAGAAGCACCCAAAAUCCUAAAAUUGUAGAUCGCCUGUCGUCACACGCCAUGCCACGUGUGAAAAUGUCUGUUGUUUAGCUUAGUGAGAGGCAAGUAGGUCGGACUCGGGGGUCAGUUUCAGAGCAAUUGAGGGAAGGGCGUGGGGCCAUGAGACCAUGUGCCUAAUUAGCACCAUUGUCAAAAAUGGACGUUUUCCAAUUCCAGGUAAAACACGAGGCGUUCCCAGUGUGACUUCGAUCACGCAGCCACGGCAGCCAGGUAUAACAACGGGCUUGUGAGGUGCCUCGGACUACAAGUUGCACGGUUUCAACAUCUGCGAAGUAGUUAGUGGUUUGCGCCUGCCAUUCUAGUCUUCACAGAUGUUCAUUGUGGCUUUCCAGGUUACUUGGAUAGGGACUCGGUGAUAUGCCCGCAUGCGGGUUUGGGCAGGGAACAUCACAAGAACUUACAAGACCAAGUGCUUGCGGCAUUUGCGAGUUUUCGCUCACUCAUGUUCGAGGGAAAAUUGCUUGCGUGCAUGGGGAGGAUGGAUGCGUUUGACCUUAAGAAGCACCCAAAAUCCUAAAAUUGUAGAUCGCCUGUCGUCACACGCCAUGCCACGCGUGAAAAUGUCUGUUAUUUAGCUUAGUGAGAGGCAAGUAGGUCGGACUCGGGGGUCAGUUUCAGAGCAAUUGAGGGAAGGGGGUGGGGCCAUGAGACCAUGUGCCUAAUUAGCACCAUUGUCAAAAAUGGACGUUUUCCAAUUCCAGGUAAAACACGAGGCGUUCCCAGUGUGACUUCGAUCACGCAGCCACGGCAGCCAGGUAUAACAACGGGCUUGUGAGGUGCCUCGGACUACAAGUUGCACGGUUUCAACAUCUGCGAAGUAGUUAGUGGUUUGCGCCUGCCAUUCUAGUCUUCACAGAUGUUCAUUGUGGCUUUCCAGGUUACUUGGAUAGGGACUCGGUGAUAUGCCCGCAUGCGGGUUUGGGCAGGGAACAUCACAAGAACUUACAAGACCAAGCGCUUGCGGCAUUUGCGAGUUUUCGCUCACUCAUGUUCGAGGGAAAAUUGCUUGCGUGCAUGGGGAGGAUGGAUGCGUUUGACCUUAAGAAGCACCCAAAAUCCUAAAAUUGUAGAUCGCCUGUCGUCACACGCCAUGCCACGUGUGAAAAUGUCUGUUGUUUAGCUUAGUGAGAGGCAAGUAGGUCGGACUCGGGGGUCAGUUUCAGAGCAAUUGAGGGAAGGGCGUUGGGCCAUGAGACCAUGUGCCUAAUUAGCACCAUUGUCAAAAAUGGACGUUUUCCAAUUCCAGGUAAAACACGAGGCGUUCCCAGUGUGACUUCGAUCACG
RNAcentral lists this long non-coding RNA (4604 nucleotides) under Volvox carteri. RNAcentral describes it as "long non-coding RNA (VCAR_LNC001676)". The record is from RNAcentral. Lineage: Eukaryota; Viridiplantae; Chlorophyta; Chlorophyceae; Chlamydomonadales; Volvocaceae.